UACGUAGGGUGCGAGCGUUGUCCGGAAUUACUGGGCGUAAAGAGCUCGUAGGUGGUUUGUCGCGUUGUUCGUGAAAACCGGGGGCUUAACCCUCGGCGUGCGGGCGAUACGGGCAGACUGGAGUACUGCAGGGGAGACUGGAAUUCCUGGUGUAGCGGUGGAAUGCGCAGAUAUCAGGAGGAACACCGGUGGCGAAGGCGGGUCUCUGGGCCGAUACUGGCGCUGAGGAGCGAAAGCGUGGGGAGCGAACAGG
This 253-nucleotide ribosomal RNA is filed under the name uncultured bacterium. RNAcentral describes it as "partial 16S ribosomal RNA". It matches the Rfam family "Bacterial small subunit ribosomal RNA", at positions 524 to 776 of the family's 1533-position model. The record is from RNAcentral.